RNAcentral lists this ribosomal RNA (207 nucleotides) under uncultured bacterium. RNAcentral's name for it is "partial 16S ribosomal RNA". It matches the Rfam family "Bacterial small subunit ribosomal RNA", at positions 568 to 774 of the family's 1533-position model. The record is from RNAcentral.
CGCGUAGGCGGUCUCUAAAGUCAGAUGUGAAAGCCCGGGGCUUAACCCCGGAAGUGCAUUUGAAACUUAGGGACUUGAGUAUGGGAGAGGGAAGUGGAAUUCCUGGUGUAGCGGUGAAAUGCGUAGAUAUCAGGAGGAACACCAGUGGCGAAGGCGACUUCCUGGACCAAUACUGACGCUGAGGCGCGAAGGCGUGGGGAGCAAACA